CAGAGAGCCAAUCCUCCGUAACUCUUCUUUGAGAGAUAGAGAGAGAGAGAGAGAGAGUGUAUGGAAGUCGAUAAGGUCACGACGGUUCGUUUCUUCCUUGCGUGGUGCCUGCUCGCGACCACGGCGAUUGCUCUGGCCGGCUGUCGCGGAGCGGGAGCCUCUCCGGAAGCCAGCAACGCCACCGUCACUCGGCGGUGCCACGGCGGCGAGUGCCUCAUCGCCUACCGGCAACCGGAGGUGGAGCUGAUGGCGGUGCUGGACCCGGAGCGCACCCUGGGCAGCAUACUGGCCGACGGCAAACCCAUAGACAUCUUGAAAGCGACCGCUAAUCAGUAUGGCCCCGCCCGUUGUGGCCGCUUCGCACCGGGACGCUACACGUCCUGCACUACCAGGAAAGGUCCCAACCCUCGCUACAGCCCUUAUUACCGUAAAGGGUAUUAGGGAUGAUCGAUUUUCGGACGGUCCAACUUUCCACCCAAGAACUGGAAAACCGAACAGAGGGACCGAUUCUCAAUUUCUAAAAACGGGAAUCGGACUGGUGCCCCCUAAAACCGGACUUGAUCGGGCCGACCGGUCCCCGGUGGGCCGAUGGAACCCAUGGCAUAUUUAGUUUUUUUAUUUGUCGUUAAUGUUCAAGAUGCAAUUGAAAAUGUUCUUGAUGAUCAAUGCGUAUCUACAAUCAGUGAGUUACGUGAAACAUUGUAGGUUUCGCAUAGAUUUUUUUCAAUUUGUGGCAAAAUUUAGUUGGAAUGAGCAAUUACUAUUGUGUUUU
Molecule: long non-coding RNA, 772 nt
Organism: Syzygium oleosum
Lineage: Eukaryota; Viridiplantae; Streptophyta; Magnoliopsida; Myrtales; Myrtaceae
Exons: 2
Source: RefSeq, a predicted model, not a curated record